This 568-nucleotide ribosomal RNA is filed under the name uncultured cyanobacterium. Its description in RNAcentral is "bacterial SSU rRNA". It matches the Rfam family "Bacterial small subunit ribosomal RNA", at positions 45 to 647 of the family's 1533-position model. Lineage: Bacteria; Bacillati; Cyanobacteriota. The record is from RNAcentral.
UGCCUAACACAUGCAAGUCGUACGAGAGUUUUUAACUCUAGUGGCGGACGGGUGAGUAACACGUGAGAAUUUGCCUUUAGGAGGGGGACAACAAUUGGAAACGAAUGCUAAUACCCCAUAUGCUUUCGAGUGAAAUGGAUUUAUAUUUAUCCGCCUAGAGAGAAGCUCGCGGCUGAUUAGCUUGUUGGUAAGGUAAGAGCUUACCAAGGCGACGAUCAGUAUCUGGUUUGAGAGGACGAUCAGACACACUGGAACUGAGACACGGUCCAGACUCCUACGGGAGGCAGCAGUGGGGAAUUUUCCGCAAUGGGCGAAAGCCUGACGGAGCAAUACCGCGUGAGGGAAGACUGCCUAUGGGUUGUAAACCUCUUUUUUCAGGGAGGAAUAAAUGACGUGUACCUGAAGAAUAAGCAUCGGCUAACUCCGUGCCAGCAGCCGCGGUAAGACGGAGGAUGCAAGUGUUAUCCGGAAUCACUGGGCGUAAAGCGUCUGUAGGUGGUUUAAUAAGUCAACUGUUAAAUCUUGAGGCUCAACUUCAAAAUCGCAGUCGAAACUAUUAGACUAGAGU